GCCCCUACGGUGUUCGACGACGGAGCAGUGGCUGAGACUCUCCUCCGGGUGAGCACCGCAGCGUUACAGUGCUCCAUCUCCUCCGCCGCUGCGCUUUUCUUCCCCACGGCGGCAAUGAGUGGCCUCACCACCACCUCCGCACCGCCGCGAUUACUCGCAAUCCCAGCACGACACCGUUUCACUGACAAUUCAUGGACUUCCAUCGCCAUCCCCAAACCUCAUCUCAGAGCUCCACGAAUCAACCAGAAAUUUCACGGCGGCAAGGAGGAGAUGUUUAGGGGG
Molecule: long non-coding RNA, 282 nt
Filed under: Rosa chinensis
Lineage: Eukaryota; Viridiplantae; Streptophyta; Magnoliopsida; Rosales; Rosaceae
Description: sRNA RchiOBHm_Chr2g0144011
Source: RNAcentral